RNAcentral lists this unclassified non-coding RNA (344 nucleotides) under Hevea brasiliensis (rubber tree). The record is from RNAcentral. Lineage: Eukaryota; Viridiplantae; Streptophyta; Magnoliopsida; Malpighiales; Euphorbiaceae.
UCCCGGCGGAAGCGUAUGUCUGAGGGUUAUGGGCUUCGCUCAACCCUUCAGUACAAAUCCUAACUUGUUCAAUCACUGGAUUACUGCCGAAAAUUCGUGUGGCAAUAGUAGCAUCAGAUUUCAGGUCUGUUAUUAUGGGACCAGAGACUGCAUCAAUAUGAUUGUCUCAGGACGGGAGCGAAAGGACGCCAUCCUUGGAACGGUACCAUCUAUCAAGGACUUUCGAUACGAGUACGUUGAGAAAUUUUGAUCCACGCCUGCAAUCUUACUGACGGAGAUUGUCAAUGAUUAGAUUGUUUUUUUCUGCGGUCCUGAUCGCCGUGUGUGGUGGAAAUGCGAGUGCG